UUAGUAAUUGAAGUUUGAAACAUUUAUCUUCUUAAAAUCAUUUUGUGUUUCCUUGUUUUGCUUGCAGAUUUCAGAAAUGGAGAUUGGGUUAACAGUUGGUGGUGCAUUUCUCUCUUCAGCUUUGAAUGUUCUCUUUGAUAGGCUUUCUCCUCACGGUGAUCUUCUCAAUAUGUUUCGGAAGCAUAAGGAUCAUGUUCAGCUCUUAAAGAAGCUGAAAAUGACUUUGCGUGGUCUUCGGAUUGUGCUAAGUGAUGCAGAAAAUAAGCAAGCAUCAAAUCCAUCUGUGAGCGACUGGCUUAAUGAACUUCGAGAUGCUGUCGACUCUGCUGAAAACUUAAUAGAACAAGUCAAUUAUGAAGCUUUGAGGCUUAAGGUGGAAGGUCAACAUCAAAAUCUAGCAGAGACAAGCGACCAGCAAGUAAGUGACCUCAACCUGUGCUUGAGUGAUGAUUUCUUUCUUAACAUAAAGGAUAAGUUGGAAGAAACCAUUGAAACAUUGGAGGUGUUGGAAAAGCAAAUUGGUCGCCUUGGCUUAAAGGAUCAUUUUGGUUCAACUAAACAAGAAACUAGAACACCUUCAACUUCUUUGGUUGAUGAUUCUGAUAUCUUUGGAAGGCAGAAUGAUAUAGAGGAAUUGAUUGACCGUUUAUUGUCUGAAGAUGCAAGUGGAAAAAAGCUGACAGUAGUUCCUAUUGUUGGAAUGGGCGGCCUGGGUAAGACAACACUUGCUAAAGCCGUUUACAAUGAUGAGAGAGUGCAGAAACAUUUUGUUUGGAAAGCUUGGUUUUAUGUUUCUGAGGCAUAUGAUGCUUUCAGAAUAACAAAGGGGUUACUUCAGGAAAUUGGCUCAACUGACUUGAAGGUUGAUGACAAUCUUAACCAGCUACAAGUCAAAUUGAAGGAAAGAUUAAAGGGAAAUAAGUUUCUUAUAGUUCUGGAUGAUGUGUGGAAUGACAGCUACAACGAGUGGGAUGACCUGAGAAAUGUUUUUGUACAAGGAGAUACAGGAAGUAAGAUCAUUGUGACGACACGUAAAGAGAGUGUUGCCUUGAUGAUGGGAAAUGAGCAAAUCAGCAUGGAGAAUUUGUCUACUGAAGCCUCUUGGUCUUUAUUUAAAAGACAUGCAUUUGAAAACAUGGAUCCUAUUGGACAUUCGGAACUUGAAGAGGUCGGAAAACAAAUUGCAGCUAAGUGCAAGGGACUGCCCUUAGCUCUGAAGGCUCUCGCUGGCAUGUUACGCUCCAAAUCAGAGGUUGAAGAGUGGAAACGUAUUUUGAGAAGUAAAAUAUGGGAGCUGCCACACAAUGACAUAUUACCAGCGUUGAUGUUGAGCUACAAUGAUCUUCCCGCACAUUUAAAGCAAUGUUUUUCCUUUUGUGCAAUAUUUCCUAAAGAUUAUCCAUUUAGGAAAGAACAAGUCAUUCAUCUGUGGAUUGCCAAUGGUCUCGUACCACAGGAAGAUGAAAUAAUUGAAGAUUCAGGCAACCAAUACUUUCUUGAGUUGAGGUCAAGAUCAUUAUUCGAAAGGAUCCCAAAUCCUUCUGAAGGCAACAAAGAGAAUUUAUUCUUAAUGCAUGACCUUGUCAACGAUUUAGCCCAAAUUGCAUCUUCAAAACUUUGUAUCAGGUUGGAAGAGAGCCAAGGAUCUUGUAUGUUGGAAAAAAGUCGGCACUUAUCUUAUUCAAUGGGAUAUGGUGACUUUGAGAAAUUGACACCCCUCUACAAAUUGGAGCAGCUGAGGACAUUGCUUCCGACAUGUAUUGAUCUCAUGGAUUGUUAUCACCCUCUAAGCAAGAGGGUGCAGCUUAACAUACUGCCUAGACUAAGAUCCUUGAGAGUACUAUCAUUGUCUCAUUACAAGAUUAAGGAGUUGCCAAAUGACUUGUUUAUCGAAUUAAAGCUCCUGAGAUUUUUGGAUAUUUCUCAGACAGAGAUUACAAGGUUGCCAGAUUCCAUUUGUGUGUUGUAUAACUUAGAGACACUUCUCCUGUCAUUUUGUGGUUAUCUUGAGGAGCUACCGCUGCAGAUGGAGAAGUUGAUUAACUUGCGUCAUCUUGACAUAAGCAACACUUUUUUCUUGAAGAUGCCGCUACAUCUGAGCAAGUUGAAAAGCCUCCAAGUGUUAGUGGGAGCCAAGUUUCAUCUAAGUGGUUGGAGAAUGGAAGAUUUGGGUGAAGCACAGAACUUGUAUGGAUCUCUAUCAGUUGUAGAGUUGCAAAAUGUGGUUGAAAGAAGGGAAGCUGUGAAGGCAAAGAUGAGGGAGAAGAAUCAUGUUGACAAGUUAUCAUUGGAGUGGAGUGAAAGUAGUAGUGCCGACAAUUCACAAACUGAUACAGACAUACUUGAUGAGCUACGCCCACAUAAAAACAUAAAAGAAGUCGAAAUCACUGGAUAUAGAGGGACAAAAUUUCCCAAUUGGCUAGCUGAUCCUUUGUUUCUUAAGCUAGUACAGUUGUCUAUUGGUAACUGCAAUAACUGGCACUCCUUGCCAGCACUAGGACAGCUUCCUUGUUUGAAAAUCCUUUCCAUUAGAGGGAUGCAUGGAAUAACAGAGGUGACGGAAGAAUUCUAUGGCAGUUUGUCCUCAAAAAAGCCUUUUAACUGUCUUGAGAAGCUUGAAUUUGUUGAAAUGCCGGAGUGGAAGCAAUGGCACGUACUAGGAAGUGGAGAUUUCCCUAUACUUGAGAAGCUUUUCAUUAAAAAUUGCCCUGAACUCAGUUUGGAGACACCCAUUCAACUUUCAAGUUUAAAAAGGUUUGAAGUUGUUGGUUCUUCUAAGGUUGGAGUUGUUUUUGAUGAUGCUCAACUGUUUAGAUCCCAACUUGAGGGAAUGAAGCAGAUUGUUGAAUUAUAUAUUAGGGACUGUAACUCUGUUACCUCCUUACCUUUUAGCAUACUGCCCACUACCUUGAAGAGAAUAGAGAUAUCUCGUUGCCGGAAAUUGAAAUUGGAAGCGCCAGUUGGUGAGAUGAGUAUGUUUCUCGAGGAAUUGACACUGAAGGAAUGUGAUUGUAUAGAUGAUAUAUCACCUGAGUUGCUCCCAAAAGCACGCAAAUUGUGGGUACAGGAUUGCCACAACCUUACUAGGUUUUUGAUUCCUACUGCCACUGAAACUCUCGAUAUUCAUAAUUGUGAGAAUGUUGAAAUACCUUCGGUGGCAUGUGGGGGGACCCAGAUGACGUUUUUGACUAUUUCCUUCUGUUCAAAGCUGAAGUGUCUGCCAGAACGUAUGCAGGAACUCCUUCCAUCUCUUAAGAAACUGCUACUGAUUAAUUGUCCAGAAAUAGAGUCCUUUCCUGAAGGAGGAUUGCCCUUCAAUUUACAAGUCCUUCAGAUCAGUUAUUGCAAGAAACUGGUGAAUGGCCGAAAGGAGUGGCGUUUACAGAGACUCCCCUGUCUCACAGAGUUAUGGAUCUUACAUAAUGGCAGUGACGAAGAGAUUGUUGGUGGUGAGAAUUGGGAGUUGCCUUCCUCUAUUCAAACACUUUUUAUAGAGAAUCUGAAAACAUUAAGCAGCCAACAUCUCAAAAACCUCACCUCUCUUCAAUCUCUAUGUAUUAUGGGUGAUUUACCUCAAAUUCAGUCACAAGGCCAGUUUUCCUCCUUUUCUCACCUCACUUCCCUUCAAAGUCUACACAUCUGGAAUUUCCCUAAUCUCCAAUCACUUCCUGAAUCAGCACUGCCCUCCUCCCUCUCUCAGCUGGAGAUCUACCAUUGCCCUAAUCUCCAAUCCUUUCCAGUAAAAGGGAUGCCCUCUUCCCUCUCUAAACUAUCUAUUUACCAAUGCCCAUUGCUCAAACCACUACUAGAAUUUAACAAGGGGGAAUACUGGCCAGAAAUUGCUCAAAUUCCCACCAUAGGGAUCGAUGAGGAAUGCCUUUAAUGAUUAAAACAAAUGGUGCUCUCACAAAUGAGGAUUAUGAUAAGUUGGUGUCACAGCCCCGUCGCCUUAGACAUGAGUCAACUGCUCUCAUUCUUGCUCGGCUCCUUGGACGGCGUUUAAACCUAGAUAAUAUGAAGGUU
Molecule: RNA transcript, 4023 nt
Organism: Solanum stenotomum
Lineage: Eukaryota; Viridiplantae; Streptophyta; Magnoliopsida; Solanales; Solanaceae
Exons: 3
Source: RefSeq, a predicted model, not a curated record